Long non-coding RNA from Ostrea edulis (European flat oyster), 2535 nucleotides. RefSeq lists it as uncharacterized. The record is from RefSeq and is a predicted model, not a curated record. The transcript has 4 exons. NCBI's taxonomy places the organism in Eukaryota, Metazoa, Mollusca, Bivalvia, Ostreida, Ostreidae.
AAAGUAUCACUACUCCCAAUAUGAAAUCUAGAAAAAAAUCCGGUUCUGAAUAUCUAAGCUAAAUUCUAAUGUUCAGCAACAGUAUAAAACAAAUGUUAACAUUAAAAGAUAUGACUAAUCUGGACUCAUCCUAGAGUCAAAACCCUGGGUUGUGAAAUUCCCCAUUUUUUGUACAUCUUUUUCUAAUAUUCUUAAGUAGAAAAGCUGGAGUAUUUGAACAUUAGCAAUAGAGUAAAACAGCUUCGACUGAAUCACGUCUUUAAUAUUUUUCAUGAAAAAUGACCAGAUUAUUUGAAAAAUAAUUUUAGAAAACAUUGUUUAUCCAGAUCAACUAGAUCAAGUAAGCUUAAUUUCUUUUUACCAAGGCUUGAGAAAAUGGAAUCAGAAACUUUUUAUUUUAACGGCAUCAAAGACUGGAAUUCUCUCCCUGAUAAAAUAAAAUGUAUAAACAAUAGAUUUUCAUUCAAAUUUGCAAUUUAAAAAACUUUACUCAAUGACAUGAAAAAAUGGCAGAUACUGUAGUGAUUUUUUGUAUUAUUGAUCCACAUUGUCUUGUUCAUACAUAGUUAUUACAGUUGUUAUUUAUUCCAACAAUUUUCAAUACUCAGCACUGUUGAAAUGUAAGAUAUUUAAAGUAUUCUUAUGUGUUUCAAAUCAAUGUCUUUCAAUAUCUUUUUUGUUUGCAUUGUUUUAUCAUGCUAAUAAUGAUAAUAUAUUGUGUGUGUCAUAUUAUAAGAUCAGAAGGAUCCCAUUGGAAAUAAACCAUAUGGCUUUCACAGGUUAUCAUUGGCAUAGGCAUAUACAUUAAUUUACUCACUGUGCUCUUAAAGUCAAAUACAUUGUUGCUGUUAAAAUUUACUUUUUAUCUUAUGUAUUUAACAACAACUUUUCUUUUAACUAUGUGUUCCUCUGUGACAUUGUCUUGUAUUUAUAUUGUAUAUGUGCCUAUAGGGUCUGUAAGUCUCGUUUGGUUUCACUUUCGGUUUUACUACUUCCGGGUACAACAACAUGUGGAAUAUAUAAAGUCGUAACAGAGAAUCGGCGCUAAUAUGUAAUUUGGUGUAUUGUUAAGCGAUCGGUUGCAUACAUGAGACUGGGAAAACCCUGCCAUGUAGUUUAUUUAGGUUCCUAGUCGAUGCUACAGUAAGGAAGCGGUGGAUACAAAGAUGUAGAAAAAAUAACCUUGCUAGGAAAAGGGGAAAGGGUUGACAGGACACCCUUGAAGUAUCUGCUUGAAACGUACAUGUAGGAACCGAAGUUGAUACUGCUACCAAUAUAUCUGUACCAGACAACAAUGAAGUAGAUCUACAUGAUCACGAGCACACAACAUCAAACCCUCAAGAUUUAAAAAGCUUCCCUUGAAGACUAUGAUGUUGUAAACUUGCAGUGAGAAAUAUACCUGCUUAAUUAAAGGAAACCAUCCUUGACAAUUGGGAACAUCAUAAUUGAAAGACCCUGGAAAGGGAUCAUGAACACUGUUGGGAGUGUCCAUUCAACUGAAAUAUAAAAGUCAGAAGAAUUAAAGAUUGCAAUGGAUGCAACAGAAGUGACCUAAUAUGACCAAAUUGAUAUGAAUAGCCAGUUUUUUGCUUGCAGUAAUGACAAGAGUCGCCACAAAGAAAAGACCUUAAUGUGUAUUACACCCAAUGCAGCUUAUUUCCAAUCUGUAUGCUGGAUACAAAUCUAAUUUGGCAAUUGUGAACCAUUGAGGCAUUUUAGAGAAGUUGCAAGUUGGUGAUAUAUUCCUGGCGGACAAAGGAUUUUGUAUAUUUGACAAACUUCCAAAUGACAUGACACUUAUUAUCCCAUUCUUUCUUACAAAUAAAUCCCACUUCUCAAAAGAGGAUGCACAACUUUGCUAUAAAAUUUCCAGAUGCAGAAUCCAUGUUGGAUGGGAAAAUGAGAGAAUAAUUUUUUUUUUUUUUUAAAUUCCUUAGCCAUAUUCUAUCAUAGUAUAGAUAUUGAUCUGACAAAAUAUUUCAGAUUUGUGUGGAUCAUGUGAAUUUGCAGGUUCCCCUUUUGAAGGAGAUUGCAGAUAAAUCCUACAAACUUAUUAGAUUAAUUGCAUGUAUAUAUAUAUACCUUAAAUCUGUACAUACCUGCCACAUUGAAUUUUUAAAGUUAAAAGUAAUGAAUACCAUAUAUGCAAUAUAACUUUUCUACAUAUUUAUAAAAAUAUAAAGCCUUUUAUAUUCAUAUGAAUAUAAAGCCCUUUGGAACGUCUCCAUCAGAAUGAAAUAUUCUCGAGAGGAACGUUAAACAAUAUACAAUCAAACAUAAAGCCUAUUGUUCUCAUUCUGAAGGUUUUCAAAUCUGCAUUAUUAAAAAAGAAGUAAAAUCCAUUGUUUUAGUAAAUGCAUGUAAUUGAAUGAUUUUUGUAAAGCUGGACACUGUGUCUAUACAUGUAUACAUGUAUUUUGGUUCAUCUAAAUUAAGAAAAACUCUGUCUAUAAUGUUUAUUCAAUAAAUAUACAUGUAAUUACAUAACUUUGAUAGAUGCACCACUGAUAUCAUAAUAAAGUAUAUGUACAUGUG